This is a small nuclear RNA of Neotoma lepida (desert woodrat), 123 nucleotides long. NCBI's taxonomy places the organism in Eukaryota, Metazoa, Chordata, Mammalia, Rodentia, Cricetidae. The record is from Rfam.
AUAUUUUAUGAAACGAAAGGUUAGUACCACCUCUGACAAAGAGGGAAGAGGUCUACAAACCCAACAAGAUAUGUGUGAUUAAGACCCAGUCACCUACUUUGUGACAGCUAAUUACUGCUUUGA